ACAAUUUGGCACCUACUUACAGUCCACGUUUCACCGUAUCAAAAUACUUGGGUGACGAAAUUAAUAAUCUUGCUAGCACUUCACUUCCUUCAACAUGUCCUUCUGCUGAUGUUCUUCAUGAAGAAACUAGCGAGUUUUUAGCUCGGAUCAAUGAUGAUGAAUGGGACAUGAUACACGAGUAAUUAUGGGGACCACGUAUUUUGUCGACAGAAUCUAAAACGUCGACGUCAUCGGCGAUUGUUGAUAUGGAACAUGAGGUUGAUUAUGACAUUUCUCAGUCUGCCCAACAAACCAUCCCAAAAAUACACCAAAUUUGUCAGAUGGGGACCAGACAACUCAGCAAGAAGAAAAUACGUCAUCGGUGGUUGAUAAUGUGGAACAUGAGGUCGACACUGGCAUUUCUAAAUGUUCCCGGGUAGAUGAUGCUAGAUGUACACCAAAUUCAUCAGAUGUCCACAAUGCAACAAGUCAGGAAGAAUUGGUGGUUGUUGAUGUGAACCAUCAGGAUGCCUCAGUAGACCAUGCCAAAAAUAC
This is a long non-coding RNA of Helianthus annuus (common sunflower), 534 nucleotides long. RefSeq lists it as uncharacterized. The transcript is spliced from 4 exons. Lineage: Eukaryota; Viridiplantae; Streptophyta; Magnoliopsida; Asterales; Asteraceae. The record is from RefSeq and is a predicted model, not a curated record.